GAUGAACGCUGGCGGCGUGCUUAACACAUGCAAGUCGAACGGAAACGCCCAACCUCCUUUGGGUACUCGAGUGGCGAACGGGUGAGUAACACGUGGGUGAUCUGCCCUGCACUUCGGGAUAAGCCUGGGAAACCGGGUCUAAUACCGGAUAGGACCACUUCUUGGAUGGUGCGGUGGAAAGUUUUUUCGUGGUGGGAGGAGGUCGCGGACUACAAGCUUGUUGGGGGGGGCAUGGCCUACCAAGGCGUCGACGGGUAGCCGGCCUGCGAGGGUGUACGGCCACAUUAGACCUGGACGACGGCCAGGAGUCCGGAAGGGGGCAGCAGUGGGGCAAAUUGGACACAGGGCGCAAGCCUGAUGGAGGGAGGCCGCGUGGGGGUUGAGGGCCUUCGGGUUGUAAGCACCGUUCGAUGGGGACAAAGCGUUUUUGUGACGGUACCUGGAGAAGAAGAACCGGCUAACUACGUG
This 468-nucleotide ribosomal RNA is filed under the name uncultured bacterium. Its description in RNAcentral is "partial 16S ribosomal RNA". It matches the Rfam family "Bacterial small subunit ribosomal RNA", at positions 28 to 507 of the family's 1533-position model. The record is from RNAcentral.